GACGAACGCUGGCGGCGUGCCUAAUACAUGCAAGUCGACCUUAGUGGCGAACGGGUGAGUAACACGUGGGUAACCUGCCCAUCAGAAGGGGAUAACACUUGGAAACAGGUGCUAAUACCGUAUACUGAUGGAUGGACCCGCGGUGCAUUAGCUAGUUGGUGAGGUAACGGCUCACCAAGGCCACGAUGCAUAGCGGCCCUGAGAGGUGGAUCGGCAACAAUGGGACUGAGACACGGCGCAAACUACUACGGGAGGCAGCAGUAGGGAAUCUUGGGCAAUGGACGAAAGUCUGACCGAGCAAUGCCGCGUGAGUGAAGAAGGGUUUCGGAGCGGAAAGUUCUGUUGUUGGAGAAGCGGUAUCUAACCAGAAAGCCACGGCUAACUCCGUGCCAGCCGCCGCGGUAAUUC
RNAcentral lists this ribosomal RNA (408 nucleotides) under uncultured bacterium. Its description in RNAcentral is "partial 16S ribosomal RNA". It matches the Rfam family "Bacterial small subunit ribosomal RNA", at positions 28 to 526 of the family's 1533-position model. The record is from RNAcentral.